RNAcentral lists this ribosomal RNA (253 nucleotides) under uncultured bacterium. RNAcentral's name for it is "partial 16S ribosomal RNA". It matches the Rfam family "Bacterial small subunit ribosomal RNA", at positions 524 to 776 of the family's 1533-position model. The record is from RNAcentral.
UACGUAGGGUGCGAGCGUUAAUCGGAAUUACUGGGCGUAAAGCGUGCGCAGGCGGUGCUGUAAGACAGGCGUGAAAUCCCCGGGCUUAACCUGGGAAUGGCGCUUGUGACUGCAAAGCUGGAGUGCGGCAGAGGGGGAUGGAAUUCCGCGUGUAGCAGUGAAAUGCGUAGAUAUGCGGAGGAACACCGAUGGCGAAGGCAAUCCCCUGGGCCUGCACUGACGCUCAUGCACGAAAGCGUGGGGAGCAAACAGG